Long non-coding RNA from Sceloporus undulatus (fence lizard), 1553 nucleotides. RefSeq lists it as uncharacterized. NCBI's taxonomy places the organism in Eukaryota, Metazoa, Chordata, Lepidosauria, Squamata, Phrynosomatidae. The transcript has 3 exons. The record is from RefSeq and is a predicted model, not a curated record.
CAACUUGAAGCCACACAAGAAAUUCCAUUUGGCUUCAGAAUUGUCUGUGUUUGGGUUGUUUCUUUACAUGUCCAGAUUUUGAGACUCCACAGUGCUCCUGGAUUUUUGAUGCCUUAUGCUGGCUAAUCCUUAUAUAAUUUGUUUGUGAGCCAGUGUGGUCCAGUGGUUUGAGUGCUGGACUAAUAUUUCAAAGAUCAGGGUUUGAAUCCCCAUUUGCUGGCUGACUUUGAGCAAGCAACAUUCUCUCAGCCAUAACAGAAAGACAAUGGCAAACCUCCUCUGAAUAAUUCUUGCCAAGGACAGUGUCAUCAUAAAUCAUAACUGACAAAGGCACAUAACUAAACAACUAUAUAGUACCAGUGUGUACAGUAUUUUGCAGUGAGGUAUUCUGCAGGCUCUGCUCCAAAGAGAUUACAAUCUAAAUUUUAACACAGAGAAGGAGGGAGAUGGUUACGGUGCAAAUAAGGAUUCAAUUUUAAUUACAUAUGACGGCAAAUAUAAUAAUUAUGACCAUCCAUAUGUUGUUGGAAUUUUCUAGAUCACAGAUCCCCUACCCUUAUGCUUAGUUUUAGAAGGUGAAGGAGUGACAGGGUUUUGCGAUAGGCAUCAUGGAAAGUACAGGUUUGGGUGGAUUUGGAAGAAGAAAGAAAGGCAUCAUCGAACAGGUGUUGGGAGGACAGCUCGAAACAACAACAAGAUAAAGCAGCAGAGUUGGAGGAACACAACGGUCAUGGUGAGAGAUACAUCAGGGUAUGAUGUGACAAAGAGGGAACUUAGCGAUUAGAAAGCUGUAAUCAAAAAUUCUUUUCUCCUGGAGCAGCAUCCCAUCGCCUUGUGUUCUUGAUUUAUCCACAGAUGAAAUACACUUUGUUCCUUGUCUGUUCAUAGGAGUUCAUCCAUUCUGCAUGCUUGAAAAAUGUUGUUAGAGGAUCCACAGAACUGACGGUUUGCCACCUCCCUGUGGUAAUAUUUUUAUAGAUUGUUGAUGUUUCAGGAUCUCUGCCCAUAGUAAGCAGAAAAUGUAUUACGAGCUGAGUUUCUUGCUAGUUCUUUCAGAUGGCAGAAUUGUGUGUCGGAACAAAUUUCCAUCACUCCUACUGCCUUCAGGAAUGGAUUUGAGAAGAAUAUGUUUGAGAAAAGGAGCUUCUGGAGGCAGCAAAGAGAAACCUCCAAGUAUGCUACCAAAAACGGAGGGGGAAAAGGCAGAGGUGGGAAGGGAGCAAUAUAAUAAUGAAGAGAAAAUCUAUCAAGGCGGGGAAGACAUUGUCUUUGGACCAGUAAAGCCAAGUGUCUUGAAGCACCUAGAGAGGAUCCGCUGGUCAGCUCAGCCUGGGAAGGAAGCAGAAGACUCUUCCUCCCUCAUCCACUAGAAAUCCUACUGGCUGGAGAGGAUUGGCCCAGUGCCGCUCAGAAAGUCUUUUUCCCAGCCAUAAAGAGAACUACAAACUCACUUUAAAAAACCCCAAACUACUGAGUUUCUCAAGAUGCUGGAUUCUGUUCCUUCACCAUCAGUUUACUGAAUCAUAGAACAUUGACAGGCAGACUUGAGGGUC